This 464-nucleotide long non-coding RNA is filed under the name Homo sapiens (human). Its description in RNAcentral is "non-protein coding lnc-PNMA2-6:1". Lineage: Eukaryota; Metazoa; Chordata; Mammalia; Primates; Hominidae. The record is from RNAcentral.
AUUCUUUUCUGGUGUCGGGGAGCUGAAUAUUAAAAGGGUGAUUGUGGAGUUACCGGUUAUCUGCAUUUUUUUUUCUUUUCUUAUUUUGACUCUUUUUAAAAAAUGCAGGUAAAGUGACAGCGGUUCAGGAGCUUAAAGACAUCAGUGGUGGAGGGGUGAGUCAGCGGGUGCAAAAGGACAAGGAUUUGGUGCCUCGGAGACACGGUCCCCUCUCCGCCUCCAGAGAAGAGCAGGCAGGCAGCUCCCGGGACCGAAGCCGGGUCCACAUCCCCCGCGCGCGAGCUGGUGGCUCAGCAGCGGCGCUUCAGGUGGACGCGGUCAAACGAUGCCCCGCAGCCUCCUGGGUCUCAGCACAUAUUCCACACCUACGUCCCCUGACCUGUGCUCCUAGAAGCUGGAGAGAGCAGGAGCCUUCGGUGGGGCAGCUCAAAAUGUAGGUAACUGCGGGCCAGGAGCAGCGCCCA